Molecule: non-coding RNA, 95 nt
Organism: Acanthosepion pharaonis
Lineage: Eukaryota; Metazoa; Mollusca; Cephalopoda; Sepiida; Sepiidae
Source: the annotation of a GenBank genome assembly
CGUGGAAACACGGAUUCCCGUACAAUCAACGAAGUUAAGCAACGUCAGGUCUGGUCGGUACCUUGAUGGGUGACCGCUUGGAAAUAGCUGGUGUU